RNAcentral lists this ribosomal RNA (560 nucleotides) under uncultured bacterium. RNAcentral's name for it is "bacterial SSU rRNA". It matches the Rfam family "Bacterial small subunit ribosomal RNA", at positions 338 to 916 of the family's 1533-position model. The record is from RNAcentral.
CCUACGGGAGGCAGCAGUGGGGAAUCUUGGACAAUGGGCGCAAGCCUGAUUCAGCCAUGCCGCGUGAGUGAUGAAGGCCCUAGGGUCGUAAAGCUCUUUCGCCAGGGAUGAUAAUGACAGUACCUGGUAAAGAAACCCCGGCUAACUCCGUGCCAGCAGCCGCGGUAAUACGGAGGGGGUUAGCGUUGUUCGGAAUUACUGGGCGUAAAGCGCGCGUAGGCGGACCAGAAAGUUAGGGGUGAAAUCCCGGGGCUCAACCCCGGAACUGCCUCUAAAACUCCUGAUCUAGAGUUCGAGAGAGGUGAGUGGAAUUCCGAGUGUAGAGGUGAAAUUCGUAGAUAUUCGGAGGAACACCAGUGGCGAAGGCGGCUCACUGGCUCGAUACUGACGCUGAGGUGCGAAAGUGUGGGGAGCAAACAGGAUUAGAUACCCUGGUAGUCCACACCGUAAACGAUGAAUGCCAGUCGUCGGGUAGCAUGCUAUUCGGUGACACACCUAACGGAUUAAGCAUUCCGCCUGGGGAGUACGGUCGCAAGAUUAAAACUCAAAUGAAUUGACGG